GACGAACGCUGGCGGCGUGCUUAACACAUGCAAGUCGAACGGAAAGGCCCUGCUUUUGUGGGGUGCUCGAGUGGCGAACGGGUGAGUAACACGUGAGUAACCUGCCCUUGACUUUGGGAUAACUUCAGGAAACUGGGGCUAAUACCGGAUAGGAGCUCCUGCUGCAUGGUGGGGGUUGGAAAGUUUCGGCGGUUGGGGAUGGACUCGCGGCUUAUCGGCUUGUUGGUGGGGUAGUGGAUUACCAAGGCUUUGACGGGUAGCCGGCCUGAGAGGGUGACCGGCCACAUUGGGACUGAGAUACGGCCCAGACGCCUACGGGAGGCAGCGGUGGGGAAUCUGGCACAAUGGGCGGACGCGUGAUGCAGAAACGCCGCGUGCGGGAUGACGGCCUUCGGGUUGUAAACCGCUUUCGCCUGUGACGAAGCGUGAGUGACGGUAAUGGGUAAAGAAGCACCGGCUAACUACGU
RNAcentral lists this ribosomal RNA (467 nucleotides) under uncultured bacterium. RNAcentral describes it as "partial 16S ribosomal RNA". It matches the Rfam family "Bacterial small subunit ribosomal RNA", at positions 28 to 506 of the family's 1533-position model. The record is from RNAcentral.